CAAGGCCGGAAUGAAGAAACUAGAGGGGCACUCUAUAGCAACAAAGUUAUUACACCCCCUGCUCAGCUACAGAACCACGCCACAUACAACCACCAAUAUUACACCCGCAGAGUUAUUAAUGAAGCGACGUCUCAGGACACGGUUAAGCCUCAUAAGGCCACAAUUAGGGGGCAGGUAGAGAGAAGUCAGGAGGCUCAGAAAAAUGUACAUGUGAAAGAAACGUCACUGUUGGGGAAGUCAUUUUCACAAAGAACUUUGGAGAUGGGCCCAAAUGGCUAUCAGGUGAAGUCAGUGCAGUGACAGGACCCCUAUCCUACCAUAAUUGGUUGAAGGUCCAAUGAUCGGGAGACAUGUAGAUCUCAGGAAACAGGAAAAUGAUCCACAAGAAAAGUUGUGCCAAGCAUUUCUGUUGGAGUCUACACCACAGGUAGAAGGAACUCCUCUUGCUUUGGAAGUACCUGCAGAACCCGUUGAGCCGGAGAGAGUCGAAGAGGUAAACUUAUAGGUUCCAACUGGGGAGCCUAGUGGACAGAUAACUCCUGAGAGGGAGGCCUCAGAUAAACCAUCCAAAGUGGUAGAACUACAGCAGUCAACAUGUUUGAAAAAGCCUCCAGAGAGACUGAAUCUCAAUAAGUAUCAGCAAGGAUAUUGGGGAGCACUCAUGCGCUGUUCUUCAAGUAGUCUCACUGAACCUUUGAACUCACCUGAGAGAGCAAGUAGAACCUCGGUUACCAAAAUAAGAUGAACUAGACACAGGAAUCCACAACAGAAUGCAGAGCUGAAGACCACGAAGCAAAGGUUCA
Molecule: long non-coding RNA, 803 nt
Organism: Carcharodon carcharias (great white shark)
Lineage: Eukaryota; Metazoa; Chordata; Chondrichthyes; Lamniformes; Lamnidae
Exons: 3
Source: RefSeq, a predicted model, not a curated record